Molecule: small RNA, 163 nt
Filed under: Jeotgalibaca dankookensis
Lineage: Bacteria; Bacillati; Bacillota; Bacilli; Lactobacillales; Carnobacteriaceae
Description: Magnesium sequence
Rfam family: M-box riboswitch aptamer (ykoK leader)
About the family: M-box riboswitch, also know as ykoK leader is described as a metaloregulatory RNA that sense divalent metals and function as a genetic control element of genes related to divalent metal transport in bacteria. It was first reported upstream of the B.subtilis ykoK gene and genes with related functions in other bacteria. Phylogenetic analysis of the distribution of M-box RNAs across bacterial genomes revealed that M-box riboswitches are most often employed for the regulation of Mg2+ transporter genes
Source: Rfam by way of RNAcentral
GAAUAGCCUUGUUAGGUGAGGUUACUGUACUAGAGAUACGCUGCUGCCCAGAAAUGUCCAAAGACGCCAACGGGUCAACAGGAAUUUCCGAAUUAAGGGGAUUCUUAAUGUAGCUGGGAGUCCCUAUGCUGUACAGAGCUGAAACUCAAUGAAGAGGUGCGCA